This 65-nucleotide transfer RNA is filed under the name Philonthus decorus. Its description in RNAcentral is "tRNA-Tyr". The record is from RNAcentral. Lineage: Eukaryota; Metazoa; Arthropoda; Insecta; Coleoptera; Staphylinidae.
GGUGAAAUGGCUGAUAAUAGGCGAUAAACUGUAAAUUUAUUCAUGAAUCCCGGAUUCUUUCAUCA